CCUACGGGUGGCAGCAGUGGGGAAUAUUGCACAAUGGGGGAAACCCUGAUGCAGCGACGCCGCGUGAGUGAAGAAGGAUCUCGGUACGUAAAGCCCUAUCAGCAGGGAAGAAAAUGAAGGUACCUGACUAAGAAGCCCCGGCUAACUAAGUGCCAGAAGCCGCGGUAAAUCGUAGGGGGCAAGCGUUAUCCGGAUUUACUGGGGGUAAAGGGAGCGUAGACGGGAGCACAAGUCUGGAGUGAAAUCCCGGGGCUUAACCCCGGAACUGCAUUGGAAACUGUGCGGCUGGAGUGCAGGAGGGGUAAGCGGAAUGCCUAGUGUAGCGGUGAAAUGCGUAGAUAUUAGGAGGAACACCGGUGGCGAAGGCGGCUUACUGGACUGUAACUGACGUUGAGGCUCGAAAGCGUGGGGAGCAAACAGGAUUAGAUACCCCAGUAGUC
RNAcentral lists this ribosomal RNA (440 nucleotides) under uncultured bacterium. RNAcentral describes it as "partial 16S ribosomal RNA". It matches the Rfam family "Bacterial small subunit ribosomal RNA", at positions 338 to 795 of the family's 1533-position model. The record is from RNAcentral.